RNAcentral lists this non-coding RNA (30 nucleotides) under Mus musculus (house mouse). The record is from RNAcentral. Lineage: Eukaryota; Metazoa; Chordata; Mammalia; Rodentia; Muridae.
UUCUCAGUAUGACCAUUUGUCCAAGUUAGC